GGGUGCGGUNCGGGGGGGGGGGACACCCCGCAUAACAAUCUCCUCUGGGCGUGACUAUGAGGGCCCCCACCCCACAGAGUAAAUGUUUGAUGCAGGGAGUAAGUGCGAAUCCCCUCCCCACCACACUCGAGCGCAACUGAAGCUGACACUGAGUCAGGUUAGUACGUCACCCUCCGCCACAUCUCAGCACACAGUGGAUCAGAUACCGCAUCUCGAGUGCAACUAAAGCCGACAUUGAGUCAGGCUCGAACCUGCAUCGCAUGGGACGGAUGCCACAGCCUAUUCCAUUGGGCUACCACUGCAGUGGUCAGUAUUCACAAGGUUUGGGUGGAAGUCAGAAUCUGGUUCAAUGCAUUCCUCCGGCAUGUACUUCGAGGCUUCAUUAACAGCUGAAAUAAGAAAGAAGAGGUGUAUAGCAAAUUGGCCAAGCAGGGAGAGGAAGAGAUAAGCACAAAAGAUGUUGGGAUGGGGCCUAGCAGCAGAUAGUGUCUGCAGAGGGCGAGCAUGGGAGAUGAAAAGGAAGAAAGCAGCAGCAAAGACCCCACUGAUGGUAGCCUGGAUAUCUUCUAGCUUGACACCGUCCAGGUACAUGACGCUCCAGACAUAAGCGGUUGCAAGGCAGUUCCGGCCAAGAAUCUUGAACAUCUGGAGUGUUGUCACAAGGGUACUCCGACCUUGACGAAUGAUAUGGAGGGUGGGGGCAACUGAGGCAUGAAUAAGAAUUUAUGAUCGUAUAUGACUCCUAUAUAAUUCUAUGUAUACAAAUUUAUGAUCGUAGAUAUGAAUAAGAAUUUGUCAUUCCAAAGUCGAGUCA
RNA transcript from Elaeis guineensis (African oil palm), 814 nucleotides. The record is from RefSeq and is a predicted model, not a curated record. Lineage: Eukaryota; Viridiplantae; Streptophyta; Magnoliopsida; Arecales; Arecaceae.